Molecule: ribosomal RNA, 1459 nt
Filed under: Lactiplantibacillus plantarum
Lineage: Bacteria; Bacillati; Bacillota; Bacilli; Lactobacillales; Lactobacillaceae
Description: bacterial SSU rRNA
Rfam family: Bacterial small subunit ribosomal RNA
Source: RNAcentral
AGUCGAACGAACUCUGGUAUUGAUUGGUGCUUGCAUCAUGAUUUACAUUUGAGUGAGUGGCGAACUGGUGAGUAACACGUGGGAAACCUGCCCAGAAGCGGGGGAUAACACCUGGAAACAGAUGCUAAUACCGCAUAACAACUUGGACCGCAUGGUCCGAGUUUGAAAGAUGGCUUCGGCUAUCACUUUUGGAUGGUCCCGCGGCGUAUUAGCUAGAUGGUGAGGUAACGGCUCACCAUGGCAAUGAUACGUAGCCGACCUGAGAGGGUAAUCGGCCACAUUGGGACUGAGACACGGCCCAAACUCCUACGGGAGGCAGCAGUAGGGAAUCUUCCACAAUGGACGAAAGUCUGAUGGAGCAACGCCGCGUGAGUGAAGAAGGGUUUCGGCUCGUAAAACUCUGUUGUUGAAGAAGAACAUAUCUGAGAGUAACUGUUCAGGUAUUGACGGUAUUUAACCAGAAAGCCACGGCUAACUACGUGCCAGCAGCCGCGGUAAUACGUAGGUGGCAAGCGUUGUCCGGAUUUAUUGGGCGUAAAGCGAGCGCAGGCGGUUUUUUAAGUCUGAUGUGAAAGCCUUCGGCUCAACCGAAGAAGUGCAUCGGAAACUGGGAAACUUGAGUGCAGAAGAGGACAGUGGAACUCCAUGUGUAGCGGUGAAAUGCGUAGAUAUAUGGAAGAACACCAGUGGCGAAGGCGGCUGUCUGGUCUGUAACUGACGCUGAGGCUCGAAAGUAUGGGUAGCAAACAGGAUUAGAUACCCUGGUAGUCCAUACCGUAAACGAUGAAUGCUAAGUGUUGGAGGGUUUCCGCCCUUCAGUGCUGCAGCUAACGCAUUAAGCAUUCCGCCUGGGGAGUACGGCCGCAAGGCUGAAACUCAAAGGAAUUGACGGGGGCCCGCACAAGCGGUGGAGCAUGUGGUUUAAUUCGAAGCUACGCGAAGAACCUUACCAGGUCUUGACAUACUAUGCAAAUCUAAGAGAUUAGACGUUCCCUUCGGGGACAUGGAUACAGGUGGUGCAUGGUUGUCGUCAGCUCGUGUCGUGAGAUGUUGGGUUAAGUCCCGCAACGAGCGCAACCCUUAUUAUCAGUUGCCAGCAUUAAGUUGGGCACUCUGGUGAGACUGCCGGUGACAAACCGGAGGAAGGUGGGGAUGACGUCAAAUCAUCAUGCCCCUUAUGACCUGGGCUACACACGUGCUACAAUGGAUGGUACAACGAGUUGCGAACUCGCGAGAGUAAGCUAAUCUCUUAAAGCCAUUCUCAGUUCGGAUUGUAGGCUGCAACUCGCCUACAUGAAGUCGGAAUCGCUAGUAAUCGCGGAUCAGCAUGCCGCGGUGAAUACGUUCCCGGGCCUUGUACACACCGCCCGUCACACCAUGAGAGUUUGUAACACCCAAAGUCGGUGGGGUAACCUUUUAGGAACCAGCCGCCUAAGGUGGGACAGAUGAUUAGGGUGAA